GAUGAAGAACGCAGCGAAAUGCGAUAAGUAAUGUGAAUUGCAGAAUUCAGUGAAUCAUCGAAUCUUUGAACGCCCCUUGCGCUCCUUGGUAUUCCGAGGAGCAUGCCUGUUUGAGUGUCAUGAAUCUCUCAAACUCUUAGUUUCAUUACUGAGUGUUUGGAUUUGGAGGUCUAUGCUGGCGCAAGUCAGCUCCUCUUAAAUACAUUAGCUUGGGUCUUGCAUGUCUGGAUCCUUGGUGUGAUAAUUAUCUACGCCAUGAUGUCCAUUCAAGCCCUGCUUCUAAUCGUCUGAAUAAGACAAUUUAUUACUUGACAUCUGACCUCAAAUCAGGUAGGACUACCCGCUGAACUUAAGCAUAUCAAUAAGCGGAGGA
This 373-nucleotide unclassified non-coding RNA is filed under the name soil metagenome. RNAcentral's name for it is "partial contains 5.8S ribosomal RNA, internal transcribed spacer 2, and large subunit ribosomal RNA". The stretch from base 1 to 120 matches the Rfam family "5.8S ribosomal RNA", at positions 35 to 154 of the family's 154-position model. The record is from RNAcentral.